GAUGAACGCUGGCGGCGUGCCUAAUACAUGCAAGUCGAGCGAACAGACGAGGAGCUUGCUCCUCUGACGUUAGCGGCGGACGGGUGAGUAACACGUGGAUAACCUACCUAUAAGACUGGGAUAACUUCGGGAAACCGGAGCUAAUACCGGAUAAUAUAUUGAACCGCAUGGUUCAAUAGUGAAAGACGGUUUUGCUGUCACUUAUAGAUGGAUCCGCGCCGCAUUAGCUAGUUGGUAAGGUAACGGCUUACCAAGGCGACGAUGCGUAGCCGACCUGAGAGGGUGAUCGGCCACACUGGAACUGAGACACGGUCCAGACUCCUACGGGAGGCAGCAGUAGGGAAUCUACCGCAAUGGGCGAAAGCCUGACGGAGCAACGCCGCGUGAGUGAUGAAGGUCUUCGGAUCGUAAAACUCUGUUAUUAGGGAAGAACAAAUGUGUAAGUAACUAUGCACGUCUUGACGGUACCUAAUCAGAAAGCCACGGCUAACUACGU
RNAcentral lists this ribosomal RNA (496 nucleotides) under uncultured bacterium. Its description in RNAcentral is "partial 16S ribosomal RNA". It matches the Rfam family "Bacterial small subunit ribosomal RNA", at positions 28 to 506 of the family's 1533-position model. The record is from RNAcentral.